This 492-nucleotide ribosomal RNA is filed under the name uncultured bacterium. Its description in RNAcentral is "partial 16S ribosomal RNA". It matches the Rfam family "Bacterial small subunit ribosomal RNA", at positions 29 to 507 of the family's 1533-position model. The record is from RNAcentral.
AGUGAACGCUGGCGGUAGGCCUAACACAUGCAAGUCGAACGGCAGCACAGUAAGAGCUCGCUCUUACGGGUGGCGAGUGGCGGACGGGUGAGGAAUACAUCGGAAUCUACUUUUUCGUGGGGGAUAACGUAGGGAAACUUACGCUAAUACCGCAUACGACCUACGGGUGAAAGCAGGGGAUCUUCGGACCUUGCGCGAUUGAAUGAGCCGAUGUCGGAUUAGCUAGUUGGCGGGGUAAAGGCCCACCAAGGCGACGAUCCGUAGCUGGUCUGAGAGGAUGAGCAGCCACACUGGAACUGAGACACGGUCCAGACUCCUACGGGAGGCAGCAGUGGGGAAUAUUGGACAAUGGGCGCAAGCCUGAUCCAGCCAUACCGCGUGGGUGAAGAAGGCCUUCGGGUUGUAAAGCCCUUCUGUUGGGAAAGAAAAGCAGCAGGUUAAUACCCCGCUGUUCUGACGGUACCCAAAGAAUAAGCACCGGCUAACUUCGUG